This 408-nucleotide ribosomal RNA is filed under the name uncultured bacterium. Its description in RNAcentral is "partial 16S ribosomal RNA". It matches the Rfam family "Bacterial small subunit ribosomal RNA", at positions 28 to 526 of the family's 1533-position model. The record is from RNAcentral.
GACGAACGCUGGCGGCGUGCUUAACACAUGCAAGUCGAACGAAGUGGCGUACGGGUGAGUAACGCGAAAUCAACCUGCCCUUCAGAGGGGGACAACAGUUGGAAACGACUGCUAAUACCGAAUACUGAAGGAGGGGAUUGCGUCUUAAUGGCUAGUUGGAGGGGUAACGCCCCACGAAGGCGAUGAUCAGGAGCCGGUCUGAGAGGAUGAACGGCCACAUUGGGACUGGGAGACGGCCCAGACUCCCACGGGAGGCAGCAGUGGGGAGUCUUCCUCAAUGGACGAGAGUCUGACGGAGCAACGCAGCGUGAGUGGUGACGGCCUUCGGGUGGUAAAGCUCUGUUAUUCGGGACGCGGUACCGGCAUAGAAAGCCACGGCUAACUACGUGCCAGCCGCGGCGGUAAUUC